GACCAACCCUUAAAGACUGCUGCAUCUUUAGGACAUUCUAGUCCAACAUCGAGGUCACAAACUCUCUUUUCGAUAUGGACUCUCAAAGAGAAUUAUGCUGUUAUCCCUAUGGUAACUAAUUCCAUUAAUCAAAAUCUUUGGAUCAGUACUUGUCAGUCUCACUAAUUGUAAAGAAGCUUUAUUUGUUCCGUAGUCGCCCCAACCAAAAUUCAAAACAGAUUAAUAUCUAAAAUCUAUACAUUAUUUUCAAUUUAUUUUUUUAAAGCUCAAUAGGGUCUUCUUGUCUUUCAAUAGUAUUUAGGUUUCCUCACCUAAAAAUCAAGUUCUAAAAAAUUAUAUAGAGACAGCUUUGUUCACGUCAAACCAUUCAUACUAGCCCUCAAUUAUAGGGCAAAUGAUUAUGCUACCUUUGCACGGUCAGAGUACCGCGGCCGUUAAAAAUUAUUCACUGGGCAGGUCCGACUC
RNAcentral lists this ribosomal RNA (465 nucleotides) under Palmulacypraea musumea. RNAcentral's name for it is "partial 16S large subunit ribosomal RNA". The record is from RNAcentral. Lineage: Eukaryota; Metazoa; Mollusca; Gastropoda; Littorinimorpha; Cypraeidae.